UACGAAGGGGGCUAGCGUUGCUCGGAUUGACUGGGCGUAAAGGGCGCGUAGGCGGUUCGUACAGUCAGACGUGAAAUUCCUGGGCUCAACCUGGGGGCUGCGUUUGAUACGUGCGGACUUGAGUGCGGAAGAGGGUCGUGGAAUUCCCAGUGUAGAGGUGAAAUUCGUAGAUAUUGGGAAGAACACCUGUGGCGAAGGCGGCCAUCUGGACGUUCACUGACGCUGAGACGCGAAAGCGUGGGCAGCAAACAGG
Molecule: ribosomal RNA, 253 nt
Filed under: uncultured bacterium
Lineage: Bacteria
Description: partial 16S ribosomal RNA
Rfam family: Bacterial small subunit ribosomal RNA
Source: RNAcentral